UACGUAGGGUGCAAGCGUUAAUCGGAAUUAUUGGGCGUAAAGGGUGCGCAGGCGGUUGUAUAAGUCAGAUGUGAAAUCCCUGGGCUUAACCUAGGAAUUGCGUUUGAAACUAUAUGACUAGAGUGUGACAGAGGGGAGUGGAAUUCCAUGUGUAGCAGUGAAAUGCGUAGAGAUGUGGAAGAACACCGAUGGCGAAGGCAGCUCCCUGGGUUAACACUGACGCUCAUGCACGAAAGCGUGGGGAGCAAAC
This 250-nucleotide ribosomal RNA is filed under the name uncultured bacterium. RNAcentral's name for it is "partial 16S ribosomal RNA". It matches the Rfam family "Bacterial small subunit ribosomal RNA", at positions 524 to 773 of the family's 1533-position model. The record is from RNAcentral.